This 484-nucleotide ribosomal RNA is filed under the name uncultured bacterium. Its description in RNAcentral is "partial 16S ribosomal RNA". It matches the Rfam family "Bacterial small subunit ribosomal RNA", at positions 30 to 507 of the family's 1533-position model. The record is from RNAcentral.
AUUGAACGCUGGCGGCAGGCCUAACACAUGCAAGUCGAGCGGAUGAAGGGAGCUUGCUCCUGGAUUCAGCGGCGGACGGGUGAGUAAUGCCUAGGAAUCUGCCUGGUAGUGGGGUAUAACGUCCGGAAACGGGCGCUAAUACCGCAUACGUCCUGAGGGAGAAAGUGGGGGAUCUUCGGACCUCACGCUAUCAGAUGAGCCUAGGUCGGAUUAGCUAGUUGGUGGGGUAAAGGCCUACCAAGGCGACGAUCCGUAACUGGUCUGAGAGGAUGAUCAGUCACACUGGAACUGGGACACGGUCCAGACUCCUACGGGAGGCAGCAGUGGGGAAUAUUGGACAAUGGGCGAAAGCCUGAUCCAGCCAUGCCGCGUGUGUGAAGAAGGUCUUCGGAUUGUAAAGCACUUUAAGUUGGGAGGAAGGGCAGUAAGUUAAUACCUUGCUGUUUUGACGGUACCAACAGAAUAAGCACCGGCUAACUUCGUG